RNAcentral lists this ribosomal RNA (460 nucleotides) under uncultured bacterium. Its description in RNAcentral is "partial 16S ribosomal RNA". It matches the Rfam family "Bacterial small subunit ribosomal RNA", at positions 338 to 795 of the family's 1533-position model. The record is from RNAcentral.
CCUACGGGUGGCAGCAGUGAGGAAUAUUGGUCAAUGGACGAGAGUCUGAUCCAGCCAAGUAGCGUGAAGGAUGACUGCUUUCUGGGUUGUAAACUUCUUUUAUAAAGGAAUAAAACGAGGCACGUGUGCCUUUUUGCAUGUCCUUUAUGAAUAAGGAUCGGCUAAUUCCGUGUCAGCAGCCGCGGUAAUCCGGAGGUUCUGAGCGUUCUCCGGAUUUAUUGGGUGUAAAGGGAGCGUAGAUGGGUUGGUAAGCCAGUUGUGAAAGUUUGCGGCUCAACCGUAAAAUUGCAAUUGAUACUGGCAGGCUGGAGUACAGUAGAGGUAAGCGGAAUUCGUGGUGUAGCGGUGAAAUGCGUAGAUAUCACGAAGAACCCCGAUUGCGAAGGCAGCUUACUAAACUGUAACUGACAUUGAUGCUCGAAAGUGUGGGUAUCAAACAGGAUGAGAUACCCGAGUAGUC